AUCGUACCCCAAACCGACACAGGUGGUCAGGUAGAGAAUACCAAGGCGCUUGAGAGAACUCGGGUGAAGGAACUAGGCAAAAUGGUGCCGUAACUUCGGGAGAAGGCACGCUGAUAUGUAGGUGAAGUCCCUCGCGGAUGGAGCUGAAAUCAGUCGAAGAUACCAGCUGGCUGCAACUGUUUAUUAAAAACACAGCACUGUGCAAACACGAAAGUGGACGUAUACGGUGUGACGCCUGCCCGGUGCCGGAAGG
This 253-nucleotide ribosomal RNA is filed under the name Escherichia coli. RNAcentral's name for it is "partial 23S ribosomal RNA". It matches the Rfam family "Bacterial large subunit ribosomal RNA", at positions 1641 to 1876 of the family's 2925-position model. The record is from RNAcentral. Lineage: Bacteria; Pseudomonadati; Pseudomonadota; Gammaproteobacteria; Enterobacterales; Enterobacteriaceae.